RNAcentral lists this ribosomal RNA (497 nucleotides) under uncultured bacterium. RNAcentral describes it as "partial 16S ribosomal RNA". It matches the Rfam family "Bacterial small subunit ribosomal RNA", at positions 28 to 507 of the family's 1533-position model. The record is from RNAcentral.
GAUGAACGCUGGCGGCGUGCCUAAUACAUGCAAGUCGAGCGAACGGACGAGAAGCUUGCUUCUCUGAUGUUAGCGGCGGACGGGUGAGUAACACGUGGAUAACCUACCUAUAAGACUGGGAUAACUUCGGGAAACCGGAGCUAAUACCGGAUAAUAUUUUGAACCGCAUGGUUCAAAAGUGAAAGACGGUCUUGCUGUCACUUAUAGAUGGAUCCGCGCUGCAUUAGCUAGUUGGUAAGGUAACGGCUUACCAAGGCAACGAUGCAUAGCCGACCUGAGAGGGUGAUCGGCCACGCUGGAACUGAGACACGGUCCAGACUCCUACGGGAGGCAGCAGUAGGGAAUCUUCCGCAAUGGGCGAAAGCCUGACGGAGCAACGCCGCGUGAGUGAUGAAGGUCUUCGGAUCGUAAAACUCUGUUAUUAGGGAAGAACAUAUGUGUAAGUAACUGUGCACAUCUUGUCGGUACCUAAUCAGAAAGCCACGGCUAACUACGUG